GUUGCCGGUGUGCGCGGUCCCGGCAACGGCGUGGAAGUAAAUGCUUCAAUCGGCGGUGGUAUCCACGUAACAAAGCAGCCACUGCACACAAUCGACUAAGGAGA
RNAcentral lists this non-coding RNA (104 nucleotides) under Candidatus Poribacteria bacterium WGA-4E. RNAcentral describes it as "Poribacteria-1 RNA". It matches the Rfam family "Poribacteria-1 RNA". The record is from Rfam by way of RNAcentral. Lineage: Bacteria; Candidatus Poribacteria.